CGAGUAGGCCGGGUGAUCGCCCCGCACCUUUUGGUCUUUAGGAAUGUGCUAAAGGUUGUUACCUAAAAGAAGGAUGAGAGAGCAUAGUAACAAAGAUGAUACCGGUUGGGAACUCGUUUAUUACGAAGACCAAAAGGUGGGGGAGGAAAGUCCGAGCACCGCAGGGCAGGGUACUCUGGGAAACCAGAGGUCCCAAGGGCAACAUCCCUUGGGAACGGAAAGUGCCACAGAAAAUAUACCGCCCGGCGCACAGUUUGCUUUCUUCAAGAGAGUAUUAAAUAAAGCAAACUGUGUGCGGGGUAAGGGUGAAAAGGUGGAGUAAGAGCCCACCGUCCCGAUUGGCGACAAUCGGGGGCAAGGUAAACCCUACCCGGUGCAAGGCCAAAUAAAAGGGGAUUCCGAUUUUUCGGAAACGAGGUGGCCCGCCUCGUUCGACCCUUGGGUAGGCCGCUUAGAUUAAUGAUCACCGUCUCGCACCUUAUGAAGCCUGAAGGUGCGGGAUACAGAACUCGGCUUAUAGGCCUACUCGGGCA
This 533-nucleotide RNase P RNA is filed under the name Candidatus Stahliibacteriota bacterium. Its description in RNAcentral is "RNase P RNA component class A". It matches the Rfam family "Bacterial RNase P class A". Rfam says of the family: Ribonuclease P (RNase P) is a ubiquitous endoribonuclease, found in archaea, bacteria and eukarya as well as chloroplasts and mitochondria. Its best characterised activity is the generation of mature 5'-ends of tRNAs by cleaving the 5'-leader elements of precursor-tRNAs. Lineage: Bacteria; Candidatus Stahliibacteriota. The record is from RNAcentral.